UUAGCCACUACAGCCCCCAUCAGUCAGUGAUGGCAAUCCCUAUAGUUUUGAUGCAAGCCCCAUCCUUACUUGAUGGCAAUCCAGUCCCUGGAGUUUGUCAUUGUUCUCCUUUGUCAAAGUCAUCCCACUUGAAGUUUCAUGGUGCUAUUUGAAGUUUCAAAAUUGUCUACUACUGUCCAUAAAUUGCUGUUAGUUGUUUGUCGACAUGUGAUUGCGCAUCUGUUUGCCGCACACUCUUGAAGACCGAUCAUAUAUUUCAAAUUGAGUUUAUUUAUUCCAAGCUUGGUCCAUACAAUCUGUAUGCUCCAGCUUGAGGGGGAGUGUUAGAGAUAUUAUAUUUAGUUUAUAUUGUGUUUAUGUUAAUUAGGAAAAUAUAGUCCCUAUAUGUUUAUUAGGGAAACAUUGUUCUUACU
Molecule: long non-coding RNA, 413 nt
Filed under: Vigna radiata
Lineage: Eukaryota; Viridiplantae; Streptophyta; Magnoliopsida; Fabales; Fabaceae
Description: long non-coding RNA (VRAD_LNC008443)
Source: RNAcentral